AUUGAUAGUGGCCUUAGAAUGUGCUAUUUGUUACACAGAUGACAUUGUGAAUCAAAUAGCAACAUGUCAUUUUUUUGCAUGUGCUCUAGACAGGCUUUGUCAAUAGAUAGUCACAUCAUGUUUUAUAUUCUUUUGUGUCCAUGUUGGCAUUUUGCCACAAUGCCACAGCAGCACUAGAAUGCACAUCUGAAAUCUCGUUAAGUUAAGGUACUGUAUUGGGUUUAUGCAGUCUGAAUGCAUCCCGACCAAACUUCACCACCACCGAUGUUGAUGCGGU
RNAcentral lists this long non-coding RNA (277 nucleotides) under Sorghum bicolor (sorghum). RNAcentral describes it as "long non-coding RNA (SBIC_LNC009598)". Lineage: Eukaryota; Viridiplantae; Streptophyta; Magnoliopsida; Poales; Poaceae. The record is from RNAcentral.